Molecule: non-coding RNA, 74 nt
Organism: Tribonema minus
Lineage: Eukaryota; Xanthophyceae; Tribonematales; Tribonemataceae
Source: the annotation of a GenBank genome assembly
GCUCUGAUAGCACAGUUGGCAGUUGCACGCGCUUAGUAAGCGCGAGGUCGCCGGUUCGAAUCCGGCUUAGAGCU